Molecule: long non-coding RNA, 222 nt
Filed under: Elaeis guineensis (African oil palm)
Lineage: Eukaryota; Viridiplantae; Streptophyta; Magnoliopsida; Arecales; Arecaceae
Description: long non-coding RNA (EGUI_LNC075561)
Source: RNAcentral
AACCAUGUUUGGGAUAGUUAAUUACUACAAUUGGGAUUGAUGGAAAUGAUGGUAUGUACCUAAUUACUUGGGUUAUCAUUAAAGCUGAAUCCAAGGACAACUGGUCUUGGUUCUUAGAGCUUCAUUAGCUUGACAUUAGCUUGUACCGGAAAAGAGGUCAGUCGACAUUCAUAUCUAACUAGUAAAAGGUACCAUUAUAAUUUAUAUAUUUACAUUGGACAA